GUGGGCCCCAGCAACAUCUCUUCUUCCCGGCCGGAAGAUUAGGCCAGGUUGUUGCGUCGCCCGGCAAUCGCGCUAACCACAGGUCCACCUCGUCGCAGCUUCAAAAGAGGACAGGCCCCUGGUUCUUCCCCAAGUCGCGCGCACCUCGCAUCCCUUGGCCACACCAAAUCCGACCCUGAGCCACACCAGUAAAGCUCUGUGUGCUUGUCGCGGACAGCAGUGAUAGAAAGCGAGGAGAGAGGGACUGGGGGAAGCCGCCUCCGUCGUUCAUCGUCCACAAUGCCGAUGGGGCCUGGGGUCAAUUGCUCGCCGGUGAAGAUGCUUCGUCGGGGGACCGCACCGAUCCGCGGAUGGGGUAUCGCCACGCUAUGCACUGCUCGGAUGGGCACGUCACCGGCGGGGCCAUGGCCACAUCACCUUGAAGCUUUUUCGGCCACUGCGAACUCGCCCUCUGUUCUCCUAGCCACGGAAUUUGUGAUCGAUGACCUGUCCACCGUCGCGCGCGGGUGGUUCGCUGAACGCCAUAGGCGGGUCCAAACUCGACGCCGUCUCCAUCUGCGCCUCCCUCGCCAACGUGUUCGCCGGCUUCGACCACUGGAUCCGCCCUCAAAAGAGGAACCUGUGACUGAGGAUCCUGGUGACCAGCAGAUAGAAGUAGCUGAGCAGGAGCUCAUUGAAGGAGAAGUACAGGUGGUUCAAGAGGAGCCACGCAACGAGUUUGAUUCGAUGUAGGUGGCGUCUCCCAGUUGACUUUUGCGCCAAGGACGAUCCUUAGUUCGUUUUAUAUUUAUCUUUUAUUUUGUAAUAAGACUUCCGCUAUGUAAUAAUACUCUGAUGUUAUUGUGACAUUUAUCUCUAUACACUCUGUUAUUAUAUA
RNAcentral lists this unclassified non-coding RNA (877 nucleotides) under Zea mays. RNAcentral describes it as "misc RNA Zm00001eb261650". Lineage: Eukaryota; Viridiplantae; Streptophyta; Magnoliopsida; Poales; Poaceae. The record is from RNAcentral.